Long non-coding RNA from Podarcis raffonei (Aeolian wall lizard), 1416 nucleotides. RefSeq lists it as uncharacterized. NCBI's taxonomy places the organism in Eukaryota, Metazoa, Chordata, Lepidosauria, Squamata, Lacertidae. The record is from RefSeq and is a predicted model, not a curated record. The transcript has 2 exons.
GAAGAGGAGUGGGUCGAAAACACAGAUCUGUUGGCUGAUCUGUGGUUGAUCAGAUGGCAGUUCCAAUUGCUUAACAGCAAAAUGACAGGGUCUCCACCUGUAUCAGGCUGCCGAAGUGAAGAAAGCAAGUCGGGCUUCUCUGUAGUAGAAUGUGCUCAGAGGCAUCCUGUUCCUUCAUAGUAACUCUUCCCCUUUCCCGCCUGGCUCUGUCCGUUACCGUAACCCAAAGGUCUACAUAUCAAAGUAAAUCAAGAAGCUCAGUGUCUGCCCACUCCUAAGGGGUUAAUGGAGGGAUGGGGGAUGUGGUCCUCCAGAUGUUGAACUUCCAACUCCUAUCAACCCCAGCCAGCAGGAUUGGUGGUCAAGAUGGUUGUGUAGGAUAGCUACAUCUGGAGGGGAACAGGUCUCCCCCUUGCAAUAAGCAUGAAGGCAGCUGACUGGGGGCAGGAACGAGGUCUAUAAGAUCAGAUGGGGCCUCUAAUGUCAGGGCAGGAACUGUCUGAAUGGGUGUUAUGCAUCACUCACUAGUCCUUAAGAAACCUUGGGUGAAUUGCAUUUCAUGGACUUGCACGGACGUAAAGGUCAGACGGUAGCAGACAUGUGUAGAUUGAAUCUUUAAAAAGGCUAUUCUGUUUCAGCUACCAAGAAUUCCGCAAUCAAAAUCCUGCAAAUCAAGCAACGUUGGCAUACAAACACGUUUAUUCUGCUUUCAAGGUUCGGAUUUAAAACAAUUGUUUGUAAGGGGAAGAAUCGAAAAAGAUGGCUGGAAGGACAUGGAACAGAGAAAAAGGGAAGAUUCAAAAGGAAGGAUGUGGCAGCUGAUGGAAAGUUACAGCCCAGGCUGUGCUUACAAAAAAGAAUAAACAUUAAAGUGAGAUGUAUUUAAAAUUUUGCAUGAAGGUCACCCCAACUCUUGCCAAUAACAGCUAGAUUCUGUGACCUGUGUAAAGUAUGCAUGUUAGGGCCAUUGCAUUAGCUGAUUUGGAAGACAAGCUUAAAAUUACACAUUUGCUGGACAAUUCACAUUAUUUUAUUACAGGUUUAUCCCACCUUUCCAAGAAACACAAGGUUCUCCCCCAUUUUAGCUUCACAAUGAUCUUGUAAGGUAGGCUGAGAGACAGCGACUGGCCCAAGGUCAGUGAGCUUCAUGCCCGAGUGGGGAUCUGAACCCUGGUCUCUCAGGUCCAAGUCCGACACUAACCAUUACACCACACUGGCUCUCUAAACCCCCCCCCAAAAAAACGGUGUCCUGAUAAUAAAUCAGCAGGUGGUUGUCGUUGUUGUUUUAAAAAAACACUUUUAAAAACACAAAUCAUUGUUGAAACUGCAGGUGACAAGAACAAGUAGCAGAGGCAUUUUCAUUCCUGAGUGACAGCAAACUUCUUCCUAGUUGAUGCCUGCUUUGUGUGAGAGAUC